UAGGGAAUAUUGCACAAUGGGCGAAAGCCUGAUGCAGCAACGCCGCGUGCGCGAUGAAGGCCUUCGGGUCGUAAAGCGCUUUUCGGGGAGAUGAGGAAGGACAGUAUCCCCGGAAUAAGGCUCGGCUAACUACGUGCCAGCAGCCGCGGUAACACGUAGGAGCCAAGCGUUAAUCCGAAUUCACUGGGCGUAAAGCGCGUGCAGGCGGCUCGAUAAGUUGGAUGUGAAACGCUCCCGGCUCAACUGGGAGAGGACGUUCAAUACUGUCGGGCUAGAGGACGGCAGAGGAAGGUGGAAUUCCCGGUGUAGUGGUGAAAUGCGUAGAUAUCGGGAGGAACACCGAGUGGCGAAGGCGGCCUUCGUGGGCCGAACCUGACGCUCAGACGCGAAAGCUAGGGGAGC
This 402-nucleotide ribosomal RNA is filed under the name uncultured bacterium. RNAcentral describes it as "bacterial SSU rRNA". It matches the Rfam family "Bacterial small subunit ribosomal RNA", at positions 355 to 769 of the family's 1533-position model. The record is from RNAcentral.